AAAAGAGGAGCGGAAGAACAUGAGUACCGCGUACACAGAGGGAUGAGGGUCCCUUGCAUGAAGUGCGCGCAAAAGGGUAUCUCCGCCGAAGCGCAUCCAUGCCCUCACGGAUGUGCUGGGUCUGCGGGAGAAUACCCUCAUUCCUGUCACCGUCCGCGGUGAAGCGCUUUUU
RNAcentral lists this non-coding RNA (172 nucleotides) under Candidatus Gallimonas caecicola. Its description in RNAcentral is "Lysine riboswitch". It matches the Rfam family "Lysine riboswitch aptamer". Rfam says of the family: Riboswitches are metabolite binding domains within certain messenger RNAs that serve as precision sensors for their corresponding targets. The record is from RNAcentral. Lineage: Bacteria; Bacillati; Bacillota; Clostridia.